CCAAUAGCGUAUAUUAAAGUUGUUGCAGUUAAAAAGCUCGUAGUUGAAUUUCGGGAUCAAUAUAUCGGUCGUGCCUUGGUACGUACUGGUAUCAUUGGUUUCUCCUUUCUGACGAACCUUGAUGUCAUUAAUUUGGUGUCUUGGGGAAUCAGGACUGUUACUUUGAAAAAAUUAGAGUGUUUAAAGCAGGCUCACGCUUGAAUACAUUAGCAUGGAAUAAUGAAAUAGGACGUUUGAUUUUAUUUUGUUGGUUUCUAGGAUCGACGUAAUGAUUAAUAGGGAUAGUUGGGGGCAUUAGUAUUCAAUUGUCAGAGGUGAAAUUCUUGGAUUUAUUGAAGACUAACUACUGCGAAAGCAUUUGCCAAGGAUGUUCUCAUUAAUCAAGAACGAAAGUUAGGGGAUCGAAGACGAUCAGAUACCGUCGUAGUCUUAACCAUAAACUAUGCCGACUAGGGAUCGGAUGAUGUUAAUUUUUUAAUGAUUCAUUCGGCGCCUUACG
RNAcentral lists this ribosomal RNA (499 nucleotides) under uncultured Glomeromycotina. RNAcentral's name for it is "partial small subunit ribosomal RNA". It matches the Rfam family "Eukaryotic small subunit ribosomal RNA", at positions 591 to 1092 of the family's 1831-position model. The record is from RNAcentral. Lineage: Eukaryota; Fungi; Glomeromycota.